AGAUUUUUAGUCUACUUUUAUAUAAAAACAGUUGUUUUUAGAACUCUUUAGCGAUGUGUUAGUAUAAUAUAAUAAGUAUGGAUUAUCAUCGAAAGCUGAUGAUCAACGAAAAAAGAAGAUGAAUGUGGUGACUCUUCUAGUAACUUUCUUGGGUGUGAAUCUGUCUUUUUAUUUACUCCUCUUGGUUUAAAAACAAAUACUUAGUACAAUAUAAUUAUGGAUUACUGUCGAAGGUCUACAUGAUCAACCAAAAUGAACCAGAUGAAUCUGGUGAUUUUUCUAGUGACAUUACUGGGUGUGAAUCUGUCUUUUGAGUUUACUCCUCCUAGUUUAAAAACAGGGUAUAGUAACAAUGUUUAAUUAUUAAUUUAAUAAAGAACACGUUGGGCUGACGGCAGCAUACUUAAACCAAAAAAAUAACAGACUAUCUAAUCAUAACAUAAAUGAUACACGCGAACAAAAAACCUUGUUCCCAUAUAAAAA
Molecule: long non-coding RNA, 483 nt
Organism: Diabrotica virgifera virgifera (western corn rootworm)
Lineage: Eukaryota; Metazoa; Arthropoda; Insecta; Coleoptera; Chrysomelidae
Exons: 2
Source: RefSeq, a predicted model, not a curated record